RNAcentral lists this ribosomal RNA (2173 nucleotides) under Escherichia coli. Its description in RNAcentral is "bacterial LSU rRNA". It matches the Rfam family "Bacterial large subunit ribosomal RNA", at positions 792 to 2925 of the family's 2925-position model. The record is from RNAcentral. Lineage: Bacteria; Pseudomonadati; Pseudomonadota; Gammaproteobacteria; Enterobacterales; Enterobacteriaceae.
AAAAAUUAGCGGAUGACUUGUGGCUGGGGGUGAAAGGCCAAUCAAACCGGGAGAUAGCUGGUUCUCCCCGAAAGCUAUUUAGGUAGCGCCUCGUGAAUUCAUCUCCGGGGGUAGAGCACUGUUUCGGCAAGGGGGUCAUCCCGACUUACCAACCCGAUGCAAACUGCGAAUACCGGAGAAUGUUAUCACGGGAGACACACGGCGGGUGCUAACGUCCGUCGUGAAGAGGGAAACAACCCAGACCGCCAGCUAAGGUCCCAAAGUCAUGGUUAAGUGGGAAACGAUGUGGGAAGGCCCAGACAGCCAGGAUGUUGGCUUAGAAGCAGCCAUCAUUUAAAGAAAGCGUAAUAGCUCACUGGUCGAGUCGGCCUGCGCGGAAGAUGUAACGGGGCUAAACCAUGCACCGAAGCUGCGGCAGCGACGCUUAUGCGUUGUUGGGUAGGGGAGCGUUCUGUAAGCCUGUGAAGGUGUGCUGUGAGGCAUGCUGGAGGUAUCAGAAGUGCGAAUGCUGACAUAAGUAACGAUAAAGCGGGUGAAAAGCCCGCUCGCCGGAAGACCAAGGGUUCCUGUCCAACGUUAAUCGGGGCAGGGUGAGUCGACCCCUAAGGCGAGGCCGAAAGGCGUAGUCGAUGGGAAACAGGUUAAUAUUCCUGUACUUGGUGUUACUGCGAAGGGGGGACGGAGAAGGCUAUGUUGGCCGGGCGACGGUUGUCCCGGUUUAAGCGUGUAGGCUGGUUUUCCAGGCAAAUCCGGAAAAUCAAGGCUGAGGCGUGAUGACGAGGCACUACGGUGCUGAAGCAACAAAUGCCCUGCUUCCAGGAAAAGCCUCUAAGCAUCAGGUAACAUCAAAUCGUACCCCAAACCGACACAGGUGGUCAGGUAGAGAAUACCAAGGCGCUUGAGAGAACUCGGGUGAAGGAACUAGGCAAAAUGGUGCCGUAACUUCGGGAGAAGGCACGCUGAUAUGUAGGUGAAGUCCCUCGCGGAUGGAGCUGAAAUCAGUCGAAGAUACCAGCUGGCUGCAACUGUUUAUUAAAAACACAGCACUGUGCAAACACGAAAGUGGACGUAUACGGUGUGACGCCUGCCCGGUGCCGGAAGGUUAAUUGAUGGGGUCAGCGCAAGCGAAGCUCUUGAUCGAAGCCCCGGUAAACGGCGGCCGUAACUAUAACGGUCCUAAGGUAGCGAAAUUCCUUGUCGGGUAAGUUCCGACCUGCACGAAUGGCGUAAUGAUGGCCAGGCUGUCUCCACCCGAGACUCAGUGAAAUUGAACUCGCUGUGAAGAUGCAGUGUACCCGCGGCAAGACGGAAAGACCCCGUGAACCUUUACUAUAGCUUGACACUGAACAUUGAGCCUUGAUGUGUAGGAUAGGUGGGAGGCUUAGAAGUGUGGACGCCAGUCUGCAUGGAGCCGACCUUGAAAUACCACCCUUUAAUGUUUGAUGUUCUAACGUUGACCCGUAAUCCGGGUUGCGGACAGUGUCUGGUGGGUAGUUUGACUGGGGCGGUCUCCUCCUAAAGAGUAACGGAGGAGCACGAAGGUUGGCUAAUCCUGGUCGGACAUCAGGAGGUUAGUGCAAUGGCAUAAGCCAGCUUGACUGCGAGCGUGACGGCGCGAGCAGGUGCGAAAGCAGGUCAUAGUGAUCCGGUGGUUCUGAAUGGAAGGGCCAUCGCUCAACGGAUAAAAGGUACUCCGGGGAUAACAGGCUGAUACCGCCCAAGAGUUCAUAUCGACGGCGGUGUUUGGCACCUCGAUGUCGGCUCAUCACAUCCUGGGGCUGAAGUAGGUCCCAAGGGUAUGGCUGUUCGCCAUUUAAAGUGGUACGCGAGCUGGGUUUAGAACGUCGUGAGACAGUUCGGUCCCUAUCUGCCGUGGGCGCUGGAGAACUGAGGGGGGCUGCUCCUAGUACGAGAGGACCGGAGUGGACGCAUCACUGGUGUUCGGGUUGUCAUGCCAAUGGCAUUGCCCGGUAGCUAAAUGCGGAAGAGAUAAGUGCUGAAAGCAUCUAAGCACGAAACUUGCCCCGAGAUGAGUUCUCCCUGACUCCUUGAGAGUCCUGAAGGAACGUUGAAGACGACGACGUUGAUAGGCCGGGUGUGUAAGCGCAGCGAUGCGUUGAGCUAACCGGUACUAAUGAACCGUGAGGCUUAACCUUACAACGCCGAAGCUGUU